CCUACGGGGGGCUGCAGUGAGGAAUAUUGGUCAAUGGACGCAAGUCUGAACCAGUCAAGUAGCGUGCAGGAUGACGGCCCUCCGGGUUGUAAACUGCUUUUAGUUGGGAAUAAAAGGGGGCUCGUGAGCCCCGUAUUGUAUGUACCAUCAGAAAAAGGACCGGCUAAUUCCGUGCCAGCAGCCGCGGUAAUACGGAAGGUCCGGGCGUUAUCCGGAUUUAUUGGGUUUAAAGGGAGCGUAGGCCGGCUUUUAAGUCAGCUGUGAAAGUCCGCGGCUCAACCGUGGAAUUGCAGUUGAAACUGGAGGCCUUGAGUGCACACAGGGAUGCCGGAAUUCAUGGUGUAGCGGUGAAAUGCUUAGAUAUCAUGAAGAACUCCGAUCGCGAAGGCAGCCUGCCAAGCCAUGACUGACGCUGAUGCACGAAAGCGUGGGGAUCAAACAGGAUUAGAUACCCCUGUAGUC
This 462-nucleotide ribosomal RNA is filed under the name uncultured bacterium. Its description in RNAcentral is "partial 16S ribosomal RNA". It matches the Rfam family "Bacterial small subunit ribosomal RNA", at positions 338 to 795 of the family's 1533-position model. The record is from RNAcentral.